Small nucleolar RNA from Falco tinnunculus (common kestrel), 128 nucleotides. Its record names the gene SNORA71. It matches the Rfam family "Small nucleolar RNA SNORA71". Rfam says of the family: The members of this family belong to the H/ACA class of snoRNAs which bind a number of proteins (including dyskerin, Gar1p and Nop10p) to form snoRNP complexes. This class of snoRNAs are thought to guide the sites of modification of uridines to pseudouridines by forming direct base pairing interactions with substrate RNAs. Lineage: Eukaryota; Metazoa; Chordata; Aves; Falconiformes; Falconidae. The record is from Ensembl.
ACCUGCAUCCGAAAGUGAUCGCGGCCCCGCCCGUGGCCCGGUCACCGAUAGUGCAGGGAGAGGAGCCCGACCGCCUUCCCGUGCCGGGGGGGCCGCCCUCGCCCUCCGGGCCCUGUUGCGGUCGGACA